AACCUAUUAGUGUUAGUGGGUGUGAAUCUAGUGUUUCACAUUUAUUUGAAAUUGUGACUAGAUCCACACUCAUUAAUGUUAAUGAGGA
Non-coding RNA from Anopheles epiroticus, 88 nucleotides. The record is from Rfam. Lineage: Eukaryota; Metazoa; Arthropoda; Insecta; Diptera; Culicidae.